GUGGGGAAUUUUGCGCAAUGGGGGAAACCCUGACGCAGCGACGCCGCGUGAAGGAUGAAGGUCUUCGGAUUGUAAACUUCUUUUGUUGGGGACGAUAAUGACGGUACCCGAUGAAUAAGCCACGGCUAACUCUGUGCCAGCAGCCGCGGUAAGACAGAGGUGGCAAGCGUUGUUCGGAAUUACUGGGCUUAAAGGGCGCGUAGGUGUCCCGGCAAGUCAGAUGUGGAAUCUUUCCGCUUAACGGGAAAAUUGCAUCUGAAACUGUCGGGAUUGAGUCAGCGAGGGGAUGGCGGAAUUCCAGGUGUAGCGGUGAAAUGCGUAGAUAUCUGGAGGAAGGCCGGUGGCGAAGGCGGCCAUCUGGCGCUGAACUGACACUGAGGCGCGAAAGCGUGGGGAGCAAACAGGAUUAGAAACCCCAGUAGUCC
This 425-nucleotide ribosomal RNA is filed under the name uncultured bacterium. RNAcentral describes it as "bacterial SSU rRNA". It matches the Rfam family "Bacterial small subunit ribosomal RNA", at positions 354 to 796 of the family's 1533-position model. The record is from RNAcentral.